AAACCACAAAAAAGUCUCAGAAGACAAGAAGCUGCUCUGAAUCUUGAUGACAGUCCUAAUGAAUCACAGAAUGUGGAGCCACAGGAGGAACUCAAGGUUCCAGCCUCUAUGCAGAAAGAGAAGAAAUUUUCUUCUGAAGUCAAUUCACUGGCAGAGUUGAAAGAGCGAGAAGAAAAACUUACAGAAGGGCUCAAGGUUUCAGAAUCUUUGCAGAAAGAGAAGGAAUUUUAUGCCGAAGUCAAUUCUCAGGCUGAGUUGAAAGGACAAGAUGAAAAACUUAAUCCUGAGGAUCUCGAGGAUUCAGGUAGAACACAUGAAGAAUCCAGAGGACGAGGAAGUGCACUAAGUCCUGAUGGCAGUCUUGACGGGGAGGUCGAGGUUUCAGUUUCUUCACAGAAAGAAAAGGCUACAGAUGAGAAAAAGGAAAAGGAAGAGAUAAAAGAACAUCUCAGCACCUCUAACAGAAAUCAUGGAGACGAUGCAAGUCUACCACAGACAAGUAAUGAACCUGAUGAUUCUCAGGAGAAAUCUUAUGACAUGAAAAAGGAGGAGAAAUUUGAAAAGCAAGAUUCACCCAAGGCUGUGGACAAUCUCCUUGUUGUAGAAACACAGAAGCAGGCAACAGAGCAAGAUGAUGAGCCAGACUGGAAGUAUUUGUUCAUGAAUGGUAUGGAAAAUAGAGAAAAAACUAUGUUGAGUGAGUAUACUACAAUUCUUCGGAACUAUAAAGAACUCAAGAAGAAGCUUGGUGAAGCAGAAACCAAAAAUGGGGAUGACCUCUUUGAUACAAUGGUGCAGUUAAAAGAACUGAGGAGUGCUAAUGCAAAGAAGGAUGAACAGAUUAAUAUCUUGCGUCAGAAACUGAGCCUUCUCCAAACAGGCUUGGGUGAAAAUGAAUCUGAUAAAUCAACCUUGACAGAGGCAGAAUUGCAAAAAAUAGAGAGAGAUGUAAUAUAUGAUGUCAAGCUGAUAACAAUGGAAGAGCCAGAAAUCUCACCAAUUGAAAACAAAUUCCGGAUGAGCAUCGAUGAACUGUUAGAGGAGAACUUAGAUUUCUGGUUAAGAUUCAGUUCUACAUUAUAUCAAAUUCAGAAAUUUGAGACUGAAAUCAAAGAUUUGCAGUCUGAGUUGUUGAAACUUGAGGAGAAAAAGAAGCAGCAAGAUGGUAGCACUAAUGCAAAGUUUUCUCUGAAAUCAGAUGCAAAACCGCUGUACAAGCACCUUAGAGAGAUUCACACUGAAUUAGCGGUCUGGUUAGAAAAAAGUAUGCUACUGAAAGAUGAACUGAAGAGCAGAUUCUCAUCCUUGUGUGAAAUUCAAGAAGAAAUAACUGCUGCUUUGAAGGAGAGUGCUGAAGAUGAUGACUUCAAGUUUACAAGCUACCAAGCUGCUAAGUUCCAAGGUGAGAUUUUGAACAUGAAACAAGAGAAUAACAAGGUUGCAGAUGAAUUGCAGGCUGGCUUAGAUCAUGUUACGACACUCCAGCUGGAAGUUGAAAGAGCUCUAGCAAAGUUGAAUGAGGAAUUCAAGCUUGCUGGAUCAAAGAAUCGCCAAAAUAUCCAACUGGAACACUCCGACAGCAGAUCUCGAGUUCCUUUGCGGUCAUUUAUCUUUGGUAACAAACCAAAAAAGCAAAAGCAUUCAAUCUUCUCCUGCGUGCACCCUGUACUGCAAAGGAAAUACAAUGGUUUGAAGGCAGGGAUUUAAUGUCUAAAUUGAUUGUUUUUAAUGGUUUACUGCUUUAGUAUUUUUUUUUUUUUAAUUUCUCUCUCUUCCUUUUUCAUUGUUAUUUUUAAGAAGCUGUAGCUUCGCCUUGAUUUUGACAGGGCAUGUUUUCCUUGUAAUAUAGAUGUUUAUAUUUAAUGAAAACAGCAGGAAUUUUUCAGCAUUUUCAAUUGGCAUUAUUUGAUUUUAUUUAUUAAGAUUCCUGUGGUGAAAUCUCAUUUUGAGUUCUUGAUAUUACAUAUAAGGCUUCUUCACCUGUUUUGCUGACCUUUUCUAGGCAAAUAAACUGUCAUAAGUGAAAUACAAUUGAACUCAUCAAAGAACGAACUACUGCUACACAAUGAAAUUUUUAAGAAUAUCAGUAAUCACUACAGAGAAUCACAUCAAAAAAGUUAAAUUCCACUCAAGUAAUGUUGCUGAUACAAACCGUUUGCAGUGCUUUGUUGCUUUUCUCCUGCAAAAUGGUAUUUUAUCAAGAAUAAUGCUAUACAUGCAAACAGAGCUUUUCUU
This 2235-nucleotide unclassified non-coding RNA is filed under the name Hevea brasiliensis (rubber tree). Lineage: Eukaryota; Viridiplantae; Streptophyta; Magnoliopsida; Malpighiales; Euphorbiaceae. The record is from RNAcentral.